GACGGAGGGGGCAAGCGUUGUCCGGAAUCACUGGGCGUAAAGCGCGUGUAGGUGGUGCGGUGCGUCGGCGCUGAAAGCUCUGGGCUCAACCCAGAGACGGGUGCCGAUACGACCGGACUGGAGGCAGAGAGAGGGUAGCGGAAUUCCGGGUGUAGUGGUGAAAUGCGUAGAGAUCCGGAGGAACGCCAGAGACGAAGGUGGCUACCUGGCUCUGACCUGACACUGAGACGCGAUAGCGUGGGGAGCGAACCGG
RNAcentral lists this ribosomal RNA (253 nucleotides) under uncultured prokaryote. RNAcentral's name for it is "partial 16S ribosomal RNA". It matches the Rfam family "Bacterial small subunit ribosomal RNA", at positions 524 to 776 of the family's 1533-position model. The record is from RNAcentral.